AACGUAGGAGACAAACGUUAUCCGGAGUUAUUGGGCGUAAAGCGCGCGCAGGUGGUGCGGUAAGUCUGUCGUGAAAUCUCCCGGCUCAACUGGGAGGGUGCGGUGGAGACUGCCGGACUGGAGGCACUCAGAGGCCGGUGGAAUUCCCGGUGUAGUGGUGAAAUGCGUAGAGAUCGGGAGGAACACCAGUGGCGAAGGCGGCCGGCUGGGGGUGACCUGACGCUGAGGCGCGAAAGCGUGGGGAGCGAACCGG
RNAcentral lists this ribosomal RNA (253 nucleotides) under uncultured bacterium. RNAcentral's name for it is "partial 16S ribosomal RNA". It matches the Rfam family "Bacterial small subunit ribosomal RNA", at positions 524 to 776 of the family's 1533-position model. The record is from RNAcentral.